ACGGGUGAGUAACGCGUGGGUAACCUACCCUGUACACACGGAUAACAUACCGAAAGGUAUGCUAAUACGGGAUAAUAUAUUUGAGAGGCAUCUCUUAAAUAUCAAAGGUGAGCCAGUACAGGAUGGACCCGCGUCUGAUUAGCUAGUUGGUAAGGUAACGGCUUACCAAGGCAACGAUCAGUAGCCGACCUGAGAGGGUGAUCGGCCACAUUGGAACUGAGACACGGUCCAAACUCCUACGGGAGGCAGCAGUGGGGAAUAUUGCACAAUGGGCGAAAGCCUGAUGCAGCAACGCCGCGUGAGUGAUGAAGGCCUUCGGGUCGUAAAACUCUGUCCUCAAGGAAGAUAAUGACGGUACUUGAGGAGGAAGCCCCGGCUAACUACGUGCCAGCAGCCGCGGUAAUACGUAGGGGGCUAGCGUUAUCCGGAUUUACUGGGCGUAAAGGGUGCGUAGGCGGUCUUUCAAGUCAGGAGUGAAAGGCUACGGCUCAACCGUAGUAAGCUCUUGAAACUGGGAGACUUGAGUGCAGGAGAGGAGAGUGGAAUUCCUAGUGUAGCGGUGAAAUGCGUAGAUAUUAGGAGGAACACCAGUUGCGAAGGCGGCUCUCUGGACUGUAACUGACGCUGAGGCACGAAAGCGUGGGGAGCAAACAGGAUUAGAUACCCUGGUAGUCCACGCUGUAAACGAAGAGUACUAGGUGUCGGGGGUUACCCCCUUCGGUGCCGCAGCUAACG
This 735-nucleotide ribosomal RNA is filed under the name uncultured bacterium. RNAcentral describes it as "bacterial SSU rRNA". It matches the Rfam family "Bacterial small subunit ribosomal RNA", at positions 102 to 857 of the family's 1533-position model. The record is from RNAcentral.